CCUACGGGGGGCAGCAGUGAGGAAUAUUGGUCAAUGGACGAGAGUCUGAACCAGCCAAGUAGCGUGAAGGAUGACUGCCCUAUGGGUUGUAAACUUCUUUUAUAUGGGAAUAAAAUGUUCCACGUGUGGGUUUUUGUAUGUACCUUAUGAAUAAGGAUCGGCUAACUCCGUGCCAGCAGCCGCGGUAAUACGGAGGAUCCGAGCGUUAUCCGGAUUUAUUGGGUUUAAAGGGAGCGUAGGUGGAUUGUUAAGUCAGUUGUGAAAGUUUGCGGCUCAACCGUAAAAUUGCAUUUGAUACUGGCAGUCUUGAGUACAGUAGAGGUGGGCGGAAUUCGUGGUGUAGCGGUGAAAUGCUUAGAUAUCACGAAGAACACCGAUUGCGAAGGCAGCUCACUGAACUGCAACUGACACUGAGGCUCGAAAGUGUGGGUAUCAAACAGGAUUAGAUACACUAGUAGUC
This 460-nucleotide ribosomal RNA is filed under the name uncultured bacterium. RNAcentral describes it as "partial 16S ribosomal RNA". It matches the Rfam family "Bacterial small subunit ribosomal RNA", at positions 338 to 795 of the family's 1533-position model. The record is from RNAcentral.